UGGCGACCUCUCUCUGAACCUCUCUGGCGGCCGAGCCUCCGUAACACUCUCAAGUUUUACCGACGGAUAAGCCCCCCCACUAGCGUCGAUCGGAUUCUUCGCGACGGACGAACUCCACCCAAGUUUCCACGAUGAUCGACCACCUUCUAAACUUCUUCCGGACUCCUACGGGAGUCAGACUUCAUCCCCGACUCCGGCUGCAGGAAGACUUCGUCCGGACUCCUACGGGAGUCGGACUUCGUCCCCGACUCCGGCUACAGGAAGACUUAGUCCGGACUCCUACG
This 284-nucleotide long non-coding RNA is filed under the name Elaeis guineensis (African oil palm). RNAcentral's name for it is "long non-coding RNA (EGUI_LNC066137)". Lineage: Eukaryota; Viridiplantae; Streptophyta; Magnoliopsida; Arecales; Arecaceae. The record is from RNAcentral.